Molecule: ribosomal RNA, 550 nt
Filed under: uncultured Pseudomonadota bacterium
Lineage: Bacteria; Pseudomonadati; Pseudomonadota
Description: bacterial SSU rRNA
Rfam family: Bacterial small subunit ribosomal RNA
Source: RNAcentral
UGGGGAAUUUUGGACAAUGGGGGCAACCCUGAUCCAGCCAUGCCGCGUGAGUGAAGAAGGCCUUCGGGUUGUAAAGCUCUUUCGGUCGGGAAGAAAUCGCAUGGGUUAAUACCCUGUGCGGAUGACGGUACCGACAUAAGAAGCACCGGCUAACUACGUGCCAGCAGCCGCGGUAAUACGUAGGGUGCGAGCGUUAAUCGGAAUUACUGGGCGUAAAGCGUGCGCAGGCGGUUUUGUAAGACAGGCGUGAAAUCCCCGGGCUCAACCUGGGAACUGCGUUUGUGACUGCAAGGCUAGAGUAUGGCAGAGGGGGGUGGAAUUCCACGUGUAGCAGUGAAAUGCGUAGAGAUGUGGAGGAACACCGAUGGCGAAGGCAGCCCCCUGGGCCAAUACUGACGCUCAUGCACGAAAGCGUGGGUAGCAAACAGGAUUAGAUACCCUGGUAGUCCACGCCCUAAACGAUGUCAACUAGGUGUUGGGUGGGUAAAACCAUUUAGUACCGGAGCUAACGCGUGAAGUUGACCGCCUGGGGAGUACGGCCGCAAGGUUA